GGCUCAAUGGUCUAGAGGUAUGAUUGCUGUUUCGGGUAUAGCAGGUCCCGGGUUCAAAUCCCGGUUGAGCCC
RNAcentral lists this transfer RNA (72 nucleotides) under Pyricularia oryzae 70-15. RNAcentral describes it as "tRNA-Pro (CGG) (tRNA-Pro-CGG-1-1)". It matches the Rfam family "tRNA". From Rfam's summary of the family: Transfer RNA (tRNA) molecules are approximately 80 nucleotides in length. Their secondary structure includes four short double-helical elements and three loops (D, anti-codon, and T loops). RNAcentral also lists the same sequence under 4 other names. The record is from RNAcentral. Lineage: Eukaryota; Fungi; Ascomycota; Sordariomycetes; Magnaporthales; Pyriculariaceae.